GAGGUCACGAAAGCGCUCAAGCGUGCUACCAAUCUUGCUGGCAGGCACGAGAUAACCCACGUUCUGUCGACGCUUUCAAUUGGGUUCGGUCCUCUGGCUACAGCAUCGCGCAUUGUUAAAAGACGAUGACUGUCGUGUUGUAUUCAUGUGUUGCUUACAAUCGUUAAUUUGUCUUUACAUUUUCCAUAGUCCAAAAAAGGUGGCCAAAGAAAGGUUUAAACGUCGCAUGGAAAAACUCAGACGACAUCAUGAUGAGUGCACGAGGAAACAUUCACCGAAGACAAAGGAAAGUCCGAAGCAAUCACCAAGGUCUGACACCAUGACACAUCAUCAGGACCCAGAUGAUGAACCCCCACCUCCCUAUAAUGAAGACACCUUUGCCUUGCAGAUGAUGUGUACAGAAGUCUCGAUUAAGGAAAGUCAGAAGCAAUCACCAAGGUCUGACACCAUGACACAUAAUCAGGACCCAGAUGAUGAACCCCCACCUCCCUAUAAUGAAGACACC
Long non-coding RNA from Sardina pilchardus (European sardine), 505 nucleotides. RefSeq lists it as uncharacterized. The record is from RefSeq and is a predicted model, not a curated record. Lineage: Eukaryota; Metazoa; Chordata; Actinopteri; Clupeiformes; Clupeidae. The transcript is spliced from 3 exons.